Molecule: ribosomal RNA, 253 nt
Filed under: uncultured bacterium
Lineage: Bacteria
Description: partial 16S ribosomal RNA
Rfam family: Bacterial small subunit ribosomal RNA
Source: RNAcentral
UACGUAGGGUGCAAGCGUUGUCCGGAAUUAUUGGGCGUAAAGAGCUUGUAGGCGGUUUGUCGCGUCUGCUGUGAAAUUUCGGGGCUCAACCCCGAACUUGCAGUGGGUACGGGCAGACUAGAGUGUGGUAGGGGAGACUGGAAUUCCUGGUGUAGCGGUGAAAUGCGCAGAUAUCAGGAGGAACACCGAUGGCGAAGGCAGGUCUCUGGGCCACUACUGACGCUGAGAAGCGAAAGCAGGGGGAGCGAACAGG